This 433-nucleotide ribosomal RNA is filed under the name uncultured bacterium. Its description in RNAcentral is "partial 16S ribosomal RNA". It matches the Rfam family "Bacterial small subunit ribosomal RNA", at positions 29 to 507 of the family's 1533-position model. The record is from RNAcentral.
AACGAACGCUGGCGGCAUGCCUAACACAUGCGAGUCGAACGAGACCUUCGGGUCUAGUGGCGCACGGGUGCGUAACGCGUGGGAACCUGCCCUUAGGUUCGGAAUAACUCCCCGAAAGGGGUGCUAAUACCGGAUAAUGUCUUCGGACCAAAGAUUUAUCGCCUUUGGAUGGGCCCGCGUUGGAUUAGCUAGUUGGUAGGGUAAAAGCCUACCAAGGCGACGAUCCAUAGCUGGUCUGAGAGGAUGAUCAGCCACACUGGGACUGAGACACGGCCCAGACUCCUACGGGAGGCAGCAGUGGGGAAUAUUGGACAAUGGGCGAAAGCCUGAUCCAGCAAUGCCGCGUGAGUGAUGAAGGCCUUAGGGUUGUAAAGCUCUUUUAUCCGGGAUGAUAAUGACAGUACCGGGAGAAUAAGCUCCGGCUAACUCCGUG